This 286-nucleotide ribosomal RNA is filed under the name Enterococcus faecalis. RNAcentral describes it as "partial 23S ribosomal RNA". It matches the Rfam family "Bacterial large subunit ribosomal RNA", at positions 1 to 284 of the family's 2925-position model. The record is from RNAcentral. Lineage: Bacteria; Bacillati; Bacillota; Bacilli; Lactobacillales; Enterococcaceae.
AGGUUAAGUGAAUAAGGGCGCACGGUGGAUGCCUUGGCACUAGGAGCCGAUGAAGGACGGGACUAACACCGAUAUGCUUUGGGGAGCUGUAAGUAAGCUAUGAUCCAGAGAUUUCCGAAUGGGGGAACCCAAUAUCUUUUAUAGGAUAUUACUUUUCAGUGAAUACAUAGCUGAUUAGAGGUAGACGCAGAGAACUGAAACAUCUUAGUACCUGCAGGAAGAGAAAGAAAAUUCGAUUCCCUGAGUAGCGGCGAGCGAAACGGGAAGAGCCCAAACCAACAAGCUU